This 3771-nucleotide long non-coding RNA is filed under the name Equus asinus (donkey). RNAcentral's name for it is "lncRNA (ENSEASG00005027717.1)". The record is from RNAcentral. Lineage: Eukaryota; Metazoa; Chordata; Mammalia; Perissodactyla; Equidae.
CAGGCCCAGGCCGCGGACGGUCGCAGAGCCGGCGCCGGCCCGUCUCCGUGGUAACCGGCUCGCCGCAGAGGCCUCUGGGAAUUCUAGUUGGGCGGGGUGGGGCCCGCGCCGCUGCCGUUAGCGCUCGCCGCCGCGGUGAGAGCGGGCGCGGUAGCCGCAGCCCGGCCCGGCCUUUGGCGGCGAGGGUUCCCAGCGUCCGGGGCGGGCUCCUCCGCGGUACCGCAGCCACCGAGCAUCCAGGCAGAAAGUUUUUGAAAUAUAAAGAAGCAUUUCUCUGAAAUUUAACCCUCCCACAGUACAAGUGACCUUCCUUGGGGACUUUUCCAGCCAAGAAUGAUCACAGCCGCGAGGGGGUCUGUAUCCUUGGACCCCCAGGCCCCUCAAAAGCAGGACAGAAUUGUGGUGGUGAAGGUGGAGGCAGAGGGCCACUUUAUCCUCGCAGCCGGGAGCUGGCCCACUCGCGCUUCAGACGGUUCUACCACCAGGAGACCAGGAGAUUUGCCACCCGGUGAGGUUCUGCGAUGUCCCCAUGAGCUCUGCCACCAGGGGCUGAGGCUGGAGAGACAUCGCAAGCUGCCCAUCCUGGAGCUGCUGAUGCUGGAGCAGUUCCUGGCCAUCCUGCCCCCGGGGCUGCAGAGCUGGGGCUGGGAGCGCCCCUGGGCCGUGGAGAGGAGCUGGCUGUGACGGACCGGAAGUUUCCUGGGGGCAGAGGGCACCUCCACCAGCGGCACAAGAACCACCACACGUCGCCAGCUUCAGCCAGUGAGACCCAGUUCAAACGCGGAUCUUGGGAGCUCCACCCCCUCCAAGCCAGUGCCUCAUUUUUCAUCGUGGUGUCACAUGCCGCCAUUCAUGUCAUGGGUCCCCUGUGAUCGGCAGGGGUUUUAUCUCCACAGCCACCUUUGCACAGCAAUAAUAUUUGGAUUCUCUCCGUCUGGGUUCCGAUGGUGACCUCAGGACUGAGGACGGCUUCAGCUCAGAUCAGGAACUUGCUGAAGGAAGGCCUCCCCAGUGACUCAAGCAGACUCCAGGGAAGCUCUACAGGCACCAGAGCUGGGAGGCCCGCAGAAUGUUCCAGGCCCUUGGGCCGCCUCAGGGAACCUCCCAGAGAGCAGGCCGAGCAGCCAUCCUGCCCAAGAGAGGAGUUUCAAGCAGGAGAGAGAAGAGACAAGCCAUGAAGGUGACAAGUGACAAGCCUGCAGGCCAGGUGAGCUCCUGGUUCCAGAUUAGAAAAGAUGUCUGGGCAAAGGCCACAGCGAUGUCACACGUGUGGCUGUGGUCGAGCAGACACAGCCCUCCUUCAGCAUCAGAGCCCAUGCGGAAGAGAAGCCUCAGGUGUGAGCGAGUGGAACCGACUUCCAGAUCACCCAGAGCCCGUGUGACAGGUCAGGAGGCUGUUACUUUGAUGAGAAAAGGAGAGAGGCGGGACCACCAUGGCCCUGAGCAGGGAAGCUGGUGUGUGUGAGCUGAGGGGCACGAAGGACACAGCUAGACACGGUCCCCAAACACAGGCCUUCUCUGCGUGGCUUCGUCACCACCAGGUGUGUGCUCCCCAGGUGCCGAAGGGCAAGGGAGCUGGCCCGCUCAGCCACUCGUCACCAGGCCACUCAGCUCCCACAUCAGCCACCUGGCCUCCACCUUAGUCCCUUCUUACGCCACUUUUCUGUCACUUCUGCUCUUUUGUAAGAAACAUAAUACAUUUUUUCUCUUCUCAACAAGCGUAAUACAUGUCCAUAACAGACACUUUUAAAAUACAUGUAAACAAAAUGAAAAAAAUCUAGUCACCUAUUCCAGAAUCACGGGUAACAUGGAGUGUCUUUCUAGCAUUUCUUCCUAAGCAUAUAUAUACAUUUUCUCCAUUUUUCAGGUUUCUCUAAAAAAAGAGGUAGGGAACCUCCCUGCAGUCCGACUUCCUUUCACCUGGGAGCCGAGAAUGGGAACCAAGAGAAGCCUGUGUCUUGUGGACCCCGCCCUGGCGGCCUCAGGAGCAGGACCUCUUUCGGCCACCAGAGGGGGGUGUCUGCUCACGCACGUCUGUCCCAGUUUUCUCCUCGGGUCCAGGAAUGGGCAGCUCCCCUGGAAGCCACCGUGGCCACUCCUCGCUUUAUUGCUCAUUCUGCUCCCUGCCCCCCCGGGAAACCUUCUUGGUUCCUGAGGAGAAACAGACCGAACUCCCAGGCUCCCUCUGGACCACGUCUGCCCAGAUUUCCCGCAGCCUUGGACAGCUCUCCUCGCCGGUGCCGCCUUUGGGCCUCAGAGGGAGGGGAUGAACUGCUUCCCGUUGUUCUCAGGGUCGAGUCCCGAGGCCCUGGACGGCCCGGCCCCUCUCUGUUCCUCCCCCCCUCCCUCCACGUUGGGCUCCGUUUUCCUCACUUACACUACACUGGCCAUCUUCCGGCUCCGUUCACUCUGUUCCCUCACCAGCUGACCCUCCCGCGUGUUGCUCUCGGGAAGGCGCCCCCCAGCCCGCCCCAGGCAGAUGCUUGCUGUUCCAGGGCUGAGCUGACACGCUGCUUCUUCCCGGGAGUCGCUCCCAACCCCGCGAGUCUGGGAUACGGGAUUCUCUUCUCUGCUUCCUGGGGCCCAGGAGUUCUUUCAGAACUCGUAGCAUGCUGGGUUGUCUGCCUCCUUCUAGAGUAGAAGUUCCAGGAGGGCAGGGACCGUGUCAGUCUUACUCGUGUCCCCAGCACGGACGCACCCUUCCCGGCGCUCCGCAGGGCUCAAUGAAGAUCUGCUAAAUGGGCGCAUGAAUGAGUGAAUGCAGGAAUGAAGGAGUGUGCCUUUCCCUGGUCCCUGAAGUAGAGUCUCCGAAAGCCGUCCCCUUCUCUCCUUCUGUCCCCUUGCCCUCCCAGUUCGCCAGGUGCCUCUCAUUGUCCCUACAACUCUGGAAACAGCCGGAGGAAUCGCACACUAAUGGCCCAGUUCCCUCCCUUGUGUGGGGCAGACAGUGGGGUUUGGAGCGAGAUGGACUGAGCUUCAAGUACUCUGCCACUUAAUAGCUGUGCACGCACCUUAUUUUCUUUAUUUACAAAGUGGAGAUAACAGGUCCCAGGCCGUUGCUCUGAGAAACCCCGGGCCAGCUCGACAUGUGGUGAACAGCCAUUACGCCCGCGUUCUUUCUCCCUCCCUUCCCCGCGCUCUCUCCUACGCCCCCUCCGAAGCCUUGGGCCACAGACACCCCUGCAGUCCAAAAGGUGCCACUGUCUUCCUGAUCCCCUCUCUCUUCCCCGAGGUUGUCCAAGCCACUUGUUGCUGACACCUCCUUCCUCCCUGUCCCUUAUCCCCAGCACAAAUGUUAAUGUCAGCUACAGAGCAGAGUAGAAGCUGAGAAGACACUUGUUGAAUGAAUGAACCAGUCACCGCGUCCUCCCCUGCGGCGUGUUUGCCAGUUGUCAAACGUGUAAAGUGGUCGCCAGCCCGUUGAUGGGCAGGGGCCUCCUGCCAUUGGACGACUCCCGUGACAGGUUGGGCACGUGUGAAGACACAAGGCCGAGACUUUACUGAAGAAAGAGGGGGAAGGAGGAGGGACGACGAGGAAACACUGUGGCCCUGGGGAAAAGGAGACCACCAACGUCAGCGGAGCCCGGGCCCUUCUCUUCUGCACAGCAUUAGGUGCCCCUGUGGGUGGACCCCAAGGGUUACAUGUGCACGACUGUGUCACGGAGCAGACUCUCCUACAGGGUGUCUGCGAUCCCCGCAGCCACAGUCUGUCUUCCCGUGACUUGUACUAAAAGUACAAGUUCCAACAAAAGUGCUUUCUAGAUUCGCCCC